This 441-nucleotide ribosomal RNA is filed under the name uncultured bacterium. Its description in RNAcentral is "partial 16S ribosomal RNA". It matches the Rfam family "Bacterial small subunit ribosomal RNA", at positions 338 to 795 of the family's 1533-position model. The record is from RNAcentral.
CCUACGGGUGGCAGCAGUGGGGAAUAUUGCACAAUGGGGGGAACCCUGAUGCAGCGACGCCGCGUGGGUGAAGGAGUAUUUCGGUAUGUAAAGCCCUAUCAGCAGGGAAGAACAAUGACGGUACCUGACCAAGAAGCACCGGCUAAAUACGUGCCAGCAGCCGCGGUAAGACGUAUGGUGCAAGGGUUAUCCGGAUUUACUGGGUGUAAAGGGAGCGCAGGCGGCGCGUUAAGCCUGGUGGGAAAGUCCGCGGCCCAACCGCGGGACUGCAUUGGGAACUGGCGCGCUGGAGUGCGGGAGGGGUAGGCGGAAUGCGUGGUGUAGCGGUGAAAUGCGUAGAUAUUGGGAAGAACGCCAGUGGCGAAGGCGGCCUGCUGGACGGUGACUGACGCUGAGGCUCGAAAGCGUGGGUAGCGAACAGGAUUAGAUACCCCUGUAGUC